AUUGCUUCUCGGCCUUCUGGCUAAGAUCAAGUGUAAUAAUAAUAAUAAUAGUUAUUAUUAGAAUCUAGGAGCAUAUUUGGCAUAUUCUCAUAUCCUCUACACAUUGUGGUGGUCAUGUCCAUCUACUUUUGAAAAAGAAUUUAUU
This 145-nucleotide small nuclear RNA is filed under the name Erinaceus europaeus (western European hedgehog). Its description in RNAcentral is "U2 spliceosomal RNA". It matches the Rfam family "U2 spliceosomal RNA". Rfam says of the family: U2 is a small nuclear RNA (snRNA) component of the spliceosome (involved in pre-mRNA splicing). Complementary binding between U2 snRNA (in an area lying towards the 5' end but 3' to hairpin I) and the branchpoint sequence (BPS) of the intron results the bulging out of an unpaired adenosine, on the BPS, which initiates a nucleophilic attack at the intronic 5' splice site, thus starting the first of two transesterification reactions that mediate splicing. The record is from Rfam by way of RNAcentral. Lineage: Eukaryota; Metazoa; Chordata; Mammalia; Eulipotyphla; Erinaceidae.